This 339-nucleotide ribosomal RNA is filed under the name uncultured bacterium. RNAcentral's name for it is "bacterial SSU rRNA". It matches the Rfam family "Bacterial small subunit ribosomal RNA", at positions 29 to 398 of the family's 1533-position model. The record is from RNAcentral.
AACGAACGCUGGCGGCAUGCCUAACACAUGCAAGUCGAACGAGACCUUCGGGUCUAGUGGCGCACGGGUGCGUAACGCGUGGGAAUCUGCCCUUGGUUCGGAAUAACAGUUAGAAAUGACUGCUAAUACCGGAUAAUGUCUUCGGACCAAAGAUUUAUCGCCCAGGGAUGAGCCCGCGUAGGAUUAGCUAGUUGGUGAGGUAAAGGCUCACCAAGGCGACGAUCCUUAGCUGGUCUGAGAGGAUGAUCAGCCACACUGGACUGAGACACGGCCCAGACUCCUACGGGAGGCAGCAGUGGGAAUAUUGGACAAUGGGCGAAAGCCUGAUCCAGCAAUGCC